Molecule: long non-coding RNA, 876 nt
Organism: Diachasmimorpha longicaudata
Lineage: Eukaryota; Metazoa; Arthropoda; Insecta; Hymenoptera; Braconidae
Exons: 3
Source: RefSeq, a predicted model, not a curated record
GUGAAAUAUUCUUCAGGAUUGUGCCCCAGAUUAAAUUCCCCAGUCCGUCUACAACCACUUCGAAUUCUGAAUUUUAAGUGCAAUUUAUAAAACUGUGUCAUAAACUUUCCUGAAUUCUUCAUGAACGUAGUGAUUAUGAGGAUGUUAGUACCAUUGGAACAAUCUCUCUGUUAGUAUUUACUUAAUUAAAUAAUCCACUAAAAUCCAGCGAUUUGCCAUCACAAUAACCACAAUUUCUGGCGAAAUUUCCUCAUGCGCUAUUCACAAUCUCUUGAAUAAUUUACGAUUCGGUGAUAAUCUCAAGACAAACUUCAUAUCCAAUUUGUGUUUUACGACAAAGUGAAUAAAAGGAUAGAUCGUGACACUUUAAUUAAAAAAUUGCGGAAAUGUGGAUUACUUUUCGAUUGAUUUUUGUAUUUGGGUUUCUCUUCAUCACGAAUGCACAGCCUCAACGUGGACUGGGAGUUCUCAACCCCUGCGGUCCAAAUCAGUCUUUCCGUCUGUGUGGGCCCCUGUGCCCCGCACUCUGUGGCAACCUCAGACCAAUUUGCGAUGUCACCAUUUGCAUACCCGGAUGCUUCUGCAAUCAUGGGUACACACGGCUAAUACGCAAUGGCCCAUGUGUAAACAUAUGUCCCGUGAACCCUGGAUUUUUAGGUCUGGGAUAGAGAUUUUACAAUUUAUGGACUUUUGAAUGUUCAUCGGAAUUGUGGAACCAGAAAUUGUCUGAGUAAUAAUAAUAUAUUUAUGUAGGGUUGUCCCCAAUUCCCCUAUCUUUCUUAGAUCCGGUAAUAUUAAUUAAAAAGUCGACUCAAAGAUGAGUCAAUUCGUUGUUUUACCCUUUCGUUAUCGCAAUAAAUAAUCACUUUGCCCUUA